UUUUUGCUACUCCAUAAGCAUUAUUUAAAAGAAGUUAGUGAAGAAAAAUUACUUUUUGUUGUACAUAUUUAGUGAAGAAAUUAUCUGUGGAGAAAGUUCUAUAUAUGCUUAAUUCAAUCUAUAUAUGCUUGAGGACAGCUUAGCUUCGCUGGGGCAUUUUGAGUUGAGUUGUCAUUCAACGCGCUUGACCGACCACCUAUUUUCUUUUGUUCCAAUAUUAGCCUUACACACUCAUAAUUCAUAAAUAAGCAAUAAAAUAAAACUUUGGCCUUAGACAUAGUCCUCAUAAUUUUUCUAAUCUAAUUUUUACCAUGUGCGAUAAAAUAUCAGUUGAAUUUCUAGACAUCGUAUAAAAUUAAAAAUCAAAGUUCCACUUUGAACAACACAUAUAAUAUAUAAAUUUUACUACAAAUCCUUAUUAUAAGGUUGAUGAUUAUCUUUUUUUUAAUCAUAAUAACUUUUGUGUACUAAUGGAAAGUGUUAAGAUAUGAUAUGGUAAGCAAAAGAAGUGGUGGUGUAAAUGGAAUUAUGAUAAGAAAGCAAAGAAAAAUAAAAAGUACAUAUGUCCCACGUAAUUUGCAUGAAAUGCAUUGAUGAACUUUGAAGGUGGCUUCCAAAAUGAAAA
Molecule: long non-coding RNA, 625 nt
Filed under: Lupinus angustifolius (narrow-leaved blue lupine)
Lineage: Eukaryota; Viridiplantae; Streptophyta; Magnoliopsida; Fabales; Fabaceae
Description: long non-coding RNA (LANG_LNC001900)
Source: RNAcentral